UACGGAGGAUCCAAGCGUUAUCCGGAUUUAUUGGGUUUAAAGGGUGCGUAGGUGGCUUUUUAAGUCAGGGGUGAAAGACGGUAGCUUAACUAUCGCAGUGCCUUUGAUACUGAAGAGCUUGAAUAAACUAGAGGUAGGCGGAAUGUGACAAGUAGCGGUGAAAUGCAUAGAUAUGUCACAGAACACCAAUUGCGAAGGCAGCUUACUAUGGUUUUAUUGACACUGAGGCACGAAAGCGUGGGGAUCAAACAGG
RNAcentral lists this ribosomal RNA (253 nucleotides) under uncultured bacterium. Its description in RNAcentral is "partial 16S ribosomal RNA". It matches the Rfam family "Bacterial small subunit ribosomal RNA", at positions 524 to 776 of the family's 1533-position model. The record is from RNAcentral.